GAUGAACGCUGGCGGCGUGCCUAAUACAUGCAAGUCGAGCGAACGGACGAGAAGCUUGCUUUUCUGAUGUUAGCGGCGGACGGGUGAGUAACACGUGGAUAACCUACCUAUAAGACUGGGAUAACUUCGGGAAACCGGAGCUAAUACCGGAUAAUAUUUUGAACCGCAUGGUUCAAAAGUGAAAGACGGUCUUGCUGUCACUUAUAGAUGGAUCCGCGCUGCAUUAGCUAGUUGGUAAGGUAACGGCUUACCAAGGCAACGAUGCAUAGCCGACCUGAGGGUGAUCGGCCACACUGGAACUGAGACACGGUCCAGACUCCUACGGGAGGCAGCAGUAGGGAAUCUUCCGCAAUGGGCGAAAGCCUGACGGAGCAACGCCGCGUGAGUGAUGAAGGUCUUCGGAUCGUAAAACUCUGUUAUUAGGGAAGAACAUAUGUGUAAGUAACUGUGCACAUCUUGACGGUACCUAAUCAGAAAGCCACGGCUAACUACGUG
This 495-nucleotide ribosomal RNA is filed under the name uncultured bacterium. RNAcentral describes it as "partial 16S ribosomal RNA". It matches the Rfam family "Bacterial small subunit ribosomal RNA", at positions 28 to 507 of the family's 1533-position model. The record is from RNAcentral.